CCCCCUGAAAAAAUUCCUGUUUAUGUUCCUGGUUAAGAAAAGGCAUGGUGUGAGCAAGCAGCUCCCUUUGCUACCCCACUGGAGCAUGCCGUUUCCCAGAUUCCUUAAUUCUGUGCUUGAGCAGGUGGUUGCCCUGGCACACAGCUCCCUUCAAGGAGGGACAAUACUACCCAUGUUUAAUACAUUAUUACUGUGAACAAGUUUAGAGGAGCGACUGCCUCUGCCAGCAGGCAGAAACAGGACCAAUCACAACUUGCAAGCUGCUGAAUGACACCGAGAGUCCUGCCUCUGAAACUUUUGUUAUUUUCCCCCCCUCAGCCCACUUCAAUUGUUCCCACAACUUGGUCACAGACUCGGACAAGUUGCCAGAGAUCUACAGACACUUCCCACAGCCUGGAGCAGGCUUCUCUGUGCUUCACUAGCAAUCACACCAGAGAAACACUUUUGUUUCCCCAAAGCUGCCCAAGCACAGCCAAGCAAAGGUGGGUGACAGCGCCAUGGAGGAUUAACAAGGAAGUGGUGGAAAUUAAAACCAAGCAAACAGCCAAGGACACAAUGAAAUUAAGUGUGAUUCUACACUGCUUACUACUGCAGGAACAACCCAAAUCUACCAUCAAGAGUCUGCAGCAAGCACAAGAGGGCAGACUAAUGCACAUCAUGGAUCUUGCUAACAACAGAGGUGUCAACCUGCUGCUCAAUUUUCUGCUUAUUGUCUUGGUUCUGGUGCUCGCAUUUAUCCUUGUGAAGCUGAUGUGAACCUCUGUGAAGUUCUGCUUCAAGUCUUGCUUUGCAAUGAUAAUGUAGACACUUCAAACUAUCUGAAUAUAAAUAUGCAAAUCCUGCAGAGACUGAAAUACACGACAAAGUAUCCACAUGCCUAUUUUAUCAGAAGGCAAUCCUAAAAAUUGUCCACCAUCAUCUACUUGCCUCUGAGUAAAGAAAGCACCUAGAGCCUUGCUGAGUACCUGAAGAAAUCCAAGUAUGUGUCAUCAGUUACUGUAGUUUUCUCACUGCUACACCUGACCUGUAUUUAAAGAUCUACAAAAGAUAUGCAGCCUUCAGAGAACAUCAUUUCUGCAAAAAGGGACAGCAGAAAUCGAUUUUUUUAAAUGGAGUUUCUGUAGAACAUUACAGGAAAUGACACAGAAACAGCAGGAAGAGAGAAUGAAAUACAAACACUGGGUUGACAGCACGCACCAAAUUAUCUGUGGAGAGCAAAAGCACAGAUGCUCUAGAUGGAAACAAAGUUUUUUAUCCAUGAAAAGCAGCUUGCAGCAACUGAGAUGGGGAUAAGUUAAGUUUAAAUAUGAAAAUGUAAUUAUUAUACCUCUUUUGACCACCUACAGCUCAUAGCAACACCUUAAAAGCCAGAAGGCAUUAGUGUUAUCCAACAGUAUCAAAGGGAAGCAGUCAAAACAACUGAAAAGUAAACUACCAUUAGCAAGGGUUAUCAUAACUCUCCCUAGGAGCCCUUAACACUGACCUGCACUCAAGCAAGAGGUGCCUCUGCAUGAACCCAGGAAGUGUCCUACAGCCUCAAUAAGCCGGAUUUACCACUUAAGCACAGGUCAAGUGGGCAGUAUGGGAGCCCUCAAGCCAUAUUUGACAGACCACUUGUUACUUGCCAGUGCAAUCAUCCAGUCCAUAGCUUGUCCUCACUUUCAGCAUGCAACAUAAGCUUCUUACACGACCUUCUUCUAUGGCCCUUCACAGGAUGCAGUUUCCCCACAGGUCGUUGGAAGGACAGUGACCAAGAGCUCACUUCUGCUGGAAUUAUUUGCCCAGAAGGCAGGCAGCUCUAUACACUUGAUACACACUGGGAAAGAAGGUGGCCAGAAGUACAUUAUAUGUAUUACACUGGGGCCAAACAAGGACCUCCCUUUCCCAAAGACAACAUGAGAACAAAUUAUACCAAUGCAUAUGUAUUGUACAGUGAAUUUAAUGCCAUACAUACACACAUGAACAGUCUUUUGUACACAUGCAAAUGAAGCCAACGUUGCUCAUGGGGCGGGGAAGCCUCAGCUUCCAGCUUUUUAUUGCCAAGAGCACGCCCCCAAUUCAGCACAUUCACUGUUGAUCCAGCACUUCUCAGAAGUGCCAAGUGUAUUACAGAGCUGAUUGACUCCUGUUCAUCCUCAGGAUUUCCAGAUUACUGGAUAUUGUGGGUGGUUCAGUGAUCUGGAAGAAACUUAUCUGCGCUGGAGCUAAAAGAAGACUUCUACGAAACAGCAGUAUGCCUAGCAAAACACAGCUUAUACCAGUCCUACCUUUAACAGGUAUCCACAUUCUGCUCUAUGCUACCUACUCCAAAGCUUACACAGCCUUAGUGUGCUGGUUUGGGCUGGAAACGCAGUUUUCAGCCAAAUACAAAACCUAGUCCCAUACUAGCUACUGUAAGGAAAAUUAAAUCCAGCCCGCUCAAACCAGCACAAUUAGGUAGGCCAGCAUGGAUAGUUAAAACAAAAGCUUUUCUCCCACCUACUCUAUGUGCAAUAAACAUUUGAAACAGCUUCUGCAAACUACCUAUCUAUAACUUUUUAAUACUGACAUGGCAGUAUCAGUUCCUGCCUGUUUGCAUUUAAAGCAGAAAACUUUGCAUAGCUACAUCGCUGAAAGCACUUUAUUAAAUACUCUGAUAAUCUUGAAAUAUUCUACAUAAAAUAUAUAUAUAUGUACACAAGGGAUAUAAGUCCUAACACUUACGGAGUUAUCUAUCACUCUGGAAGAUUUCUGCUGAUGCUUGACAUAGAUGGCUCGAAGCAUACCAAAACCACACAAACUGACAUGAAGCCCACUCUUGUCUAAAGAAUAAAAAACAUUUUCCCAACAAAACAGCUAUUCACUGAUACUCCGCUCAGGACUGCACAAAGCUUAUUUGUCUGUCUGCAUAGUCGAAGGUUUCCCUAUCUUAGGGAAACCACUGUGACAGUUUAAUAGCUAAAAUGAGAUAAAUGAGGUAACCCUGACAAAAAACAAGCCAUACAUUCCUUUUUACUACUAGUGUCAUCAACAAUCAUGUAUUCCCAGAUUCAAAAUUACAUACAAAGGAAGCAUAUAAGAAACCCUGUUGUUAGCAUGCAGAAAGAAAAACAAUAUACAACCUCCUCUCAAUCAGCAAUGAAGUCAACAAAUGCUGAAAUACAUCGCUCAAACUGAAAUACGCAUUUUCUUAAGAUGACAUAUAAAACUGGCAAAGUUAUCAGCUAACCAGUGCCAAGUCUCUUUCUGCAAUCAAGCAUGGUCCAAGUUUGACUUCCCAUCAUCUGCUAGUGCUUACUCCAGACUGAGCCCACAUACGCAAUGUAACAAACAGAAUCCCAGUUGCUGGACUACCAACUUCACAGCCAAAAGAACAGAACAAAAGAGCUUAAUUGUGACUCACAGUAAAGGAGUUUACUCCACUAAGCAAAGGUGAUAACUGCUCAUGUUAAAAAGUUUCAUCUUGCUGAAAAGUAUGGUUUAUCAACAUGUGACACAGGAAAAAUGUUGACAUGAAUAAUUUUUAGUUAACUGCCAGGACCAUACGAAAAACUAGCUUUCAGCUAAUAUCAGAAUAAACUUUUCUGUGGCAACAAUA
Molecule: RNA transcript, 3577 nt
Organism: Neopsephotus bourkii (Bourke's parrot)
Lineage: Eukaryota; Metazoa; Chordata; Aves; Psittaciformes; Psittacidae
Gene: PLN
Gene name: phospholamban
Exons: 4
Source: RefSeq, a predicted model, not a curated record